AAAUUGAAGAGUUUGAUCAUGGCUCAGAUUGAACGCUGGCGGCAGGCCUAACACAUGCAAGUCGAGCGGUAGCACAGAGAGCUUGCUCUCGGGUGACGAGCGGCGGACGGGUGAGUAAUGUCUGGGAAACUGCCUGAUGGAGGGGGAUAACUACUGGAAACGGUAGCUAAUACCGCAUAAUGUCGCAAGACCAAAGUGGGGGACCUUCGGGCCUCAUGCCAUCAGAUGUGCCCAGAUGGGAUUAGCUAGUAGGUGGGGUAACGGCUCACCUAGGCGACGAUCCCUAGCUGGUCUUAGAGGAUGACCAGCCACACUGGAACUGAGACACGGUCCAGACUCCUACGGGAGGCAGCAGUGGGGAAUAUUGCACAAUGGGCGCAAGCCUGAUGCAGCCAUGCCGCGUGUGUGAAGAAGGCCUUCGGGUUGUAAAGCACUUUCAGCGGGGAGGAAGGCGGUGAGGUUAAUAACCUCA
This 472-nucleotide ribosomal RNA is filed under the name Klebsiella pneumoniae. RNAcentral describes it as "bacterial SSU rRNA". It matches the Rfam family "Bacterial small subunit ribosomal RNA", at positions 1 to 470 of the family's 1533-position model. The record is from RNAcentral. Lineage: Bacteria; Pseudomonadati; Pseudomonadota; Gammaproteobacteria; Enterobacterales; Enterobacteriaceae.